UACGGGGGGGGUAAGCGUUGUUCGGAAUUACUGGGCGUAAAGGGCGCGUAGGCGGCCCGCUUAGUCGGACGUGAAAUCCCUCGGCUCAACCGAGGAACUGCGUCCGAUACUGGCGGGCUCGAAUCCGGGAGAGGGAUGUGGAAUUCCAGGUGUAGCGGUGAAAUGCGUAGAUAUCAGGAGGAACACCGGUGGCGAAGGCGGAUCUCUGGGCCAUUACUGACGCUGAGGAGCGAAAGCGUGGGGAGCGAACAGG
This 253-nucleotide ribosomal RNA is filed under the name uncultured bacterium. RNAcentral describes it as "partial 16S ribosomal RNA". It matches the Rfam family "Bacterial small subunit ribosomal RNA", at positions 524 to 776 of the family's 1533-position model. The record is from RNAcentral.